CAAGUCAUUUUUGUAAAUAUAAAUUCUAACCAUAGACGAUACCACAUCAACUAUGGAAUCAAAUGCACCAUUCCAAAUAUGGAAUUGGUAGAGAUACUUGAAAAAGUGCAUACAUGUUUAAGCAAAUGGAUUCACAACUCAGGUGAGUUGAGUGAAAAUGACACCUAUCUCAGUCUUCUUCGUUACAGUUGAAACAUGUGCUUGGGUCUUCCAUUGACGUAGGAUCUGGGGUGUGAAGUAAUCUGUGAAUUUUAUUCAACAUCUAUUUUUCAAUGAAUAGAAGCAUUGAUGCUUCUUAAGAGGAGUUUGAUGCUUAUUUAUUUGUUUUAUUUAGUUUCUGUAAGUCAAAUGGCUAAACCCAUAAUUUAAUAUCACGAGGAGGUAUAGUUUACGCUUAUUAAGAGGAGUUUGAUGCUCUCUCGCAACAUUAACAAUCUUCUUUUGUUGCUUGUAAUUAGAUUUCUGUUGGGUAUUUAUAGCAUGUUUAGUCUGUUAUGCUGUCUAAACUCUGAAUGAAUGACUGUGACCUGAGCAUGGGCUGAACUGCCUUGCCAUACGCUCGGCCUCCUUCGCUUUAAAUUUUAUUUGAACGUAUUAUAUUUAUUUGGUUUAGUUAAAAAUUUAAAAUCCCUGCUAGUCUUAUAAAUUUUCUUUUUUUAAAUACGUUCUAUGUUAUAUGUUUGGCCUUUUUCUUUUUUUUGUUUGUUAUACGUAUUUUAGAAUUAAAAGUGGUGCCCAAGUCAUGCAGUAGGUAGUGCACAAUAGGAUGAGUGGCAUGUUUUCCUGCUGUACCGUACAUCCGCCUUGGCCGUACAGCAGAGUUUGGUUCGCAAUAACAGAGUAUGGAAUAACAAGACUUGUUCAGCUCACCAAGUGCUUAACUCAGCUAGUGGAUGUGUUUUGAGUUGCUAUGUGCGCAAUGUUGGAAAGAAAGCUAAUAAUUUUAAUUUUACAAUACACAUCAUGUGCUUUUCAUAUGUUAUACUCAUCAUCUAAUAAGGUAAAGUUCAAUGCUGUAGUGAGAAUUUGUGUUGCAUGCACCUGAUCCCUCCAAAGUUAUUACAUUAAUGUUCCAAGAACUGAUUUUAGCAUUUUCUCCUAUUAUUAUUAGUCAUUAGAAAAAGGAAAGCAAUAAAAAUAGAUUCAUGAAAAUAUCAAUCUUCUACGUUACAGUUGAAACAUCUGCUUGGAUCUUACAUUGAAUUCGUAGAAUCUGGGGUGUGAAGUAAAUGGAUCCCACAUUUUUUCACCCCGCAGCACUGGCACUCCAAAGGUGGAAAAACAUUAAAGUGGACUGCCUCAGGAAUGCAAUUGCAUUUCCAAAAACCAUUAAAAUCCUCUUCACAGAACAGAUAGUACCCAAAAUGUAAGUGAUCUGAUUCUACAUAAUUAACUCUGCUCUGAGAUAAUCGUGUGUCAUGCGUACCACAAUCUUUGGUGGUUUUCACUUUGAGCUCACAAGAAAAUGAAAACCAUCUGCCACAAUCUACAUGACGGUCUGAAAAUGCUAAAAUAGCACUAAAUGCAAUGCCCUGCACUGCUGUACGGCCAAGGCGGAUGUACGGUACAGCAGAAUUGAUAUUUUUCUUGUCGUCCCUGAG
RNAcentral lists this long non-coding RNA (1601 nucleotides) under Citrus sinensis (sweet orange). Its description in RNAcentral is "long non-coding RNA (CSIN_LNC005179)". Lineage: Eukaryota; Viridiplantae; Streptophyta; Magnoliopsida; Sapindales; Rutaceae. The record is from RNAcentral.